This 865-nucleotide ribosomal RNA is filed under the name uncultured bacterium. RNAcentral describes it as "bacterial SSU rRNA". It matches the Rfam family "Bacterial small subunit ribosomal RNA", at positions 552 to 1429 of the family's 1533-position model. The record is from RNAcentral.
UACUGGGCGUAAAGAGUUGCGUAGGUGGUUUGUUAAGCGGGCAGUGAAAUCGUGUGGCUCAACCAUACACACAUUGUCUGAACUGGCAAACUUGAGUGAGAUAGAGGUAACUGGAAUUCCAAGUGUAGGAGUGAAAUCCGUAGAUAUUUGGAGGAACACCGAUGGCGUAGGCAGGUUACUGGAUCUCAACUGACACUAAGGCACGAAAGCAUGGGGAGCAAACGGGAUUAGAUACCCCGGUAGUCCAUGCCCUAAACUAUGGAUGCUAGCUGUUUGAGGUAUCGACCCCUUAAGUAGCGAAGCUAACGCGUUAAGCAUCCCGCCUGUGGAGUACGAGCGCAAGCUUAAAACAUAAAGGAAUUGACGGGGACCCGCACAAGCGGUGGAGCGUGUUGUUUAAUUCGAUGGUAAGCGAAGAACCUUACCCAGACUUGACUUCCUUGGAAGUUCUGCGAAAGCAGAGUGUGCCUUCGGGAACCAAGUGACAGGUGUUGCAUGGCCGUCGUCAGCUCGUGUCGUGAGAUGUUAGGUUAAGUCCUUCAACGAGCGCAACCCUUGUAUUCAGUUGAAUUUUUCUGAAUAGACUGCCCUGGUAACAGGGAGGAAGGAGGGGAUGAUGUCAGGUCAGUAUUACCCUUACGUCUGGGGCUACAAACACGCUACAAUGGCCGGUACAAAGGGCAGCCAACCCGCGAGGGGGAGCAAAUCCUAUCAAAGCCGGUCUCAGUUCGGAUUGCAGGCUGAAACUCGCCUGCAUGAAGCUGGAAUCGCUAGUAACGGUAAGUCAGCACAUUACCGUGAAUACGUUCCCGGGUCUUGUACACACCGCCCGUCAAACCAUGAAAGUCACCAAUACCUGACGUCC